CACGAGUGGCGAAAGGGCGAGGAAUAGAUUCCUACGUACCCCGGAGUCAGGGAUAACCAUCGGAAACGGUGGCUAACACCUGAUAAUCUCGAAAGAGCAAAGUUUACGCUCUGGGAGCGGGGAAUCUCCUAUCAGCUAGUUGGUGAGGUAACGGCUCACCAAGGCUUAGACGGGUAGCGGGUGUGAGAGCACGACCCGCCGCAUCGGGACUGAGACACUGCCCGGACUCCUACGGGAGGCUGCAGUAACGAAUCUUCCGCAAUGCGCGAAAGCGUGACGGGGCAAUGCCGCGUGUGGGACGAAGCCCCUCGGGGUGUAAACCACUGUCAGGGUCUAGGAACACAAUGACCAUACCCAAAGGAAGCACCGGCUAACUCUGUGCCAGCAGCCGCGGUAAUACAGAGGGUGCGAGCGUUACUCGGAAUCACUGGGCUUAAAGGGUCCGUAGGCGGGACUGCAGGCGUCGAGUGAAAUCCCACGGCUCAACCGUGGAACUGCUCGGCGAACCGCAGUUCUUGAGGCGAGUAGAGGCGAUCAGAACGAUAGGUGGAGCGGUGAAAUGCGUAGAUAUCUAUCGGAAUGCCAAAGGUGAAGACAGGUCGCUGGGCUCGUCCUGACGCUGAGGGACGAAAGCGUGGGGAGCAAACGGGAUUAGAUACCCCGGUAGUCCGCGCCGUANACAAUGCGCACUGGGUCGGGGGGGUUUGACGCCCUCCUGGCCGAAGCAAAAGUGUUAAGUGCGCCGCCUGGGGAGUACGGUCGCAAGGCUAAAACUCAAAGGAAUUGACGGGGGCUCACACAAGCGGUGGAGC
Molecule: ribosomal RNA, 812 nt
Filed under: uncultured Planctomycetota bacterium
Lineage: Bacteria; Pseudomonadati; Planctomycetota
Description: bacterial SSU rRNA
Rfam family: Bacterial small subunit ribosomal RNA
Source: RNAcentral